This 643-nucleotide long non-coding RNA is filed under the name Equus asinus (donkey). Its description in RNAcentral is "lncRNA (ENSEASG00005026381.1)". The record is from RNAcentral. Lineage: Eukaryota; Metazoa; Chordata; Mammalia; Perissodactyla; Equidae.
GCUCUUUGAAAGCAGGAAAGAGGCUGAAACGGGGCUGUGAACUUGAUGUUCUCCUGGGAACUCAGAUGAAAAACUUUCUGUUUGGGAGUUAAAUUAGGAAAACCUAUACACGGAGGUUGGGAGUAAACCAAACAACUACGUGUUGGUGAGAAACUGAGGAGUCUGAGACUACAGGAGACUAAUCGAGGUGACCUAAUCCUAAGGGGACACAGCAGGAGUCUUUAGAAUCUGCUUACCGGAAGCUAUUCACCUGUAGUUCAUGGUUUGGUGAACGCCUGUGUGAACCGAAGACUGGACAGGUUUUUUGGCUUAUCGUAUGUCAGAAAGGAAGGCUAUUUAUUGUAUCCUGACUACGUGGAAUAGUCAGCUGGGGGCGUCCGAUUCAUCUGCUCAGGUCAUCCUCAGGGAAUCCAGCGACGUUAACUUCAUUUCCAGACUCUCUUCCCAUCGUCUGAUCUCCUGCUGACGUCACCCAUUGGCUGAACUGAACUAGAUACCGGAGGAGCCUGGGUGACUCAACACUUAAAGAAACCUGGUAAUGAAGGGAUUAUCCUCCCAUUUUACAGACGAAGAAACUGAGGCUUGGGAAAGUUAAGCAACUUGACUAAAGCCCAAUGAUUGGAAACUGGAGCCAGGAUUCAUU